UCUCGUCUUCCCGUACACUGUCUCGCAGCCUUUUCCUUCUAGUGUCGGCCAUUAUGGUGGUCACACAAGCGGCGACGGCCCCGCUCUGGUUAGCGAGAAGACGUCUCCCGCUUAACCUGUACCUCCUAAAGGCAUUUUAUUGAUUU
Caenorhabditis elegans is the source of this 146-nucleotide non-coding RNA. The record is from Ensembl. NCBI's taxonomy places the organism in Eukaryota, Metazoa, Nematoda, Chromadorea, Rhabditida, Rhabditidae.